UCAGCUAAUGCCUGCACAGAUGAAGCUGACAUCUGAUCUUUCAUGUCCUAACGAGGGUGUUUGUUGUCUGAAGCUUUAAAUCCGAAUUUGUAUGCAUCCGAUUCCCGCUGACAUUUCAAGUGCCAGAAGAGAGAACACUAACAAAAAUGAAGAAAAGUGUCUGACAAUAUUUUGUCUGUGGAAUACUGAUGAGCAAAAAGGAUGAGUGUUCAGUAGAGAAUCAUAUAGCUGUUGGGCCCAAGCUGAAUACAUCACUGAGCUCCUUGGCCAGCAAAGCAUCUACCAAGGAAACGUGGAAUGGCACCUGUGGC
This is a long non-coding RNA of Eptesicus fuscus (big brown bat), 311 nucleotides long. RefSeq lists it as uncharacterized. NCBI's taxonomy places the organism in Eukaryota, Metazoa, Chordata, Mammalia, Chiroptera, Vespertilionidae. The transcript has 3 exons. The record is from RefSeq and is a predicted model, not a curated record.